UUGUAUCGACCAUCCCAAAUUAACGGUUCGUGCUCCAUUGGUUGUCCAUUUGGUCCCAUCGGCCUUUCAUAAAUUCUUGUCAACGCCAUGUUCAUGGGAUCGGGUUCGAACACCUUUAGAGCAUCAUAAUCAUACUCAUCCUCCACAAUCAUGUUAUGAAGGAUGAUGAAAGUCAUUAUAAUGCUUUGCAGUACCUCCUCAUCAAGCAUCCGAGCAGUACCCCUAAUAAUUGUCCAACGAGCAUGCAAGAUACCGAAACACCUUUCCACGUCUUUCCUAUAACCUUCUUGAUAGGCAACAAAGCUUUUUCCUUCUCAGAUUGGGGAUUCGGAAUUGUUUUCAAGAAUGUGGUCCACCAAGGAUAAAUUCCGUCGGCGAGGUAGUACACACCCGAAUAUACGGUAUUGUUGAUUCGGUACGUGAUCUAUGGGGAAUGACCUCGCAAUACAUCGUUGAACACCAGGGAUUGACCAAGCACAUUGAGGUCAUUCUGAGAUCCGGCAACUUUGAAGAAGGCAUGCCAAACCCAAGUGUCGAAUGAAGCUACGGCCUUCAGAAUUAUAUUUUCUUGGCCCCUUUGAUUCCCAUAAUCUCCUUGCCA
This 601-nucleotide long non-coding RNA is filed under the name Prunus persica (peach). Its description in RNAcentral is "long non-coding RNA (PPER_LNC007863)". Lineage: Eukaryota; Viridiplantae; Streptophyta; Magnoliopsida; Rosales; Rosaceae. The record is from RNAcentral.